RNAcentral lists this ribosomal RNA (376 nucleotides) under uncultured bacterium. Its description in RNAcentral is "bacterial SSU rRNA". It matches the Rfam family "Bacterial small subunit ribosomal RNA", at positions 523 to 898 of the family's 1533-position model. The record is from RNAcentral.
AUACGUAUGGGGCGAGCGUUGUUCGGAUUCACUGGGCGUAAAGGGCGUGUAGGCGGCGUGGUAAGUCGGAUGUGAAAUCUCCAGGCUCAACCUGGAAACUGCAUUCGAUACUGCCAUGCUAGAGUACCGGAGAGGGAGACGGAAUUCCUGGUGUAGGGGUGAAAUCUGUAGAUAUCAGGAAGAACACCGGUGGCGAAGGCGGUCUCCUGGCCGGAUACUGACGCUGAGGCGCGAAAGCUAGGGGAGCAAACAGGAUUAGAUACCCUGGUAGUCCUAGCUGUAAACGUUGUGCACUAGGUGUAAGUGGUUUCAAUCCACUUGUGCCGUAGCUAACGCAUUAAGUGCACCGCCUGGGGAGUAUGCUCGCAAGGGUGAA